This 426-nucleotide ribosomal RNA is filed under the name uncultured eukaryote. Its description in RNAcentral is "bacterial SSU rRNA". It matches the Rfam family "Eukaryotic small subunit ribosomal RNA", at positions 592 to 1018 of the family's 1831-position model. The record is from RNAcentral.
CAAUAGCGUAUAUUAAAGUUGUUGCAGUUAAAAAGCUCGUAGUUGGAUUUCUGGGCUGAGCGACCGGUCCGCCGCUGUGCGGUGUGUACUCGGGUGCGACUCGGCUCAUCCUUGCAGGGAACGGCACACGGUCUUAAUUGGUCGAGGUCGGGAAUUGCAUCGUUUACUGUGAAAAAUUAGAGUGUUCAAAGCAGGCGAUCGCUUGAAUACAUUAGCAUGGAAUAAUAGAAUAGGACUUUGGUUCUAUUUUGUUGGUUUCUAGGACCGAAGUAAUGAUUAAUAGGGACAGUUGGGGGCAUUAGUACUUAACUGUCAGAGGUGAAAUUCUCCGAUUUGUUAAAGACUAACUUAUGCGAAAGCAUUUGCCAAGGAUGUUUUCAUUAAUCAAGAACGAAAGUUAGGGGAUCAAAGAUGAUCAGAUACCAU